Molecule: ribosomal RNA, 253 nt
Filed under: uncultured bacterium
Lineage: Bacteria
Description: partial 16S ribosomal RNA
Rfam family: Bacterial small subunit ribosomal RNA
Source: RNAcentral
UACAGGGGGUGCAACCGUUGCUCGGAAUCAUUGGGCGUAAAGCGCACGUAGGCGGCUUUGCAAGUCGGAUGUGAAAUCCCUCGGCUUAACCAAGGAAGUGCAUCCGAAACUGCAGAGCUUGAGUACUUAAGAGGAUCGCGGAAUUCCCGGUGUAGAGGUGAAAUUCGUAGAUAUCGGGAGGAACACCAGUGGCGAAGGCGGCGAUCUGGGAAGAUACUGACGCUGAGGUGCGAAAGCGUGGGGAGCAAACAGG